CAACUGGGUAUUAUAUUAAAUGAUUAAUUCAACUGGCAUUUGUGUGAAAGAACCAUUAAUUAACAGAAGUUAAUGUAUUAUUAGAAACAAAACGUUUAUUUGUGUAGAGUAUGUAUAGAUCUAGUUGCAGUGAGAAAUGCAAAUGAGAAAAAUUGUCUAAAGUUAAAUGAAAGUGUUCAAUUUGUAUAAUCUUGUAAAAGUAGAGAUGUUUUUAAAAAUGUUAGGGGUAGCAGAGGAGAAAAUCAGAAGAGAAAUAAUUUAACUAGUGAGUAUAUGUUUUAUAUAUAAGUUCUCUACAUAUAAUCUUCACACUCUGGAGCACGUUUAUUUUCUUAUGUACUUUUUUUAGACACAAGUAUUUUGUUUUAUUUUUCUAUAUCACCUUUAAUUAAGCUUUUGUUAUCUUGAGUGUUAAAUCUUCCAUUCUGUAUUUGCAAAUACUGAGGUGAUCUUUAAAUCCUUUGCAGAUCGGUAUUAUUUAAUGCAGACAACAUUUCAGGAAGAUAUCUAUAUAGUACUCGUAGCUGACUAUUUGUCUAAGAAAAUGACUACUGUACAGUUCUUUGUAUAUACAUAAAAAUCUAAUAUUAAUUAGUAGCGCCUUUAUGAUCUAUGUCCUGUAAUUGAAGGGAUAUGUAAAUAUUCAUGGAGGUAUUCAGGGAUGAAACUUAUGUUAGUAAGCCUGUGUCCUACAUCAUCAAUUUUAUAUGUGAUAAAUUUUUUUGGUAACGUGAAAAUUAUUCUCAUACAGAUGACUCAUUUUCUAGAAUGACUAUAGUGAAUGGUCUCUAUAUUCAGACAUAGAUAUUUUUAUUUAUUCUUGAAAAAUGUAUGAUAGAACUGAUAUUUGCACUCUGACAUUGAAAUGAUACUAUUAUUUCAGUAAUUUUGUAUGACUAUUGCUAUAAUUUGUUACAAAAUCUUCACUGGCCUGCAUAUAGAUGAACAUUAUGAUAUAUUUUCAAAUUUGUUCUUUAUUUUAUUUCUUUCAUUUUCCUCUCUCAAGCCAAGUUCAUAACAAAAACUUCUGUGCUUUGUCUGCUAUCUUUGGCUGUGUUUCACUGUAACAUGCACUGCUGUUCUUUUAGCACCAAAAUGUUGGCACAUGUUACUGAAAAUUUCACACCAUCUCUUGCUGGAUCAGCAAGCUUAACCUACCAAAAUCUGGUGUUGUUGAAUGGUUUUUGACUGAUAAUCAAUCUUUUUGCUGCUCGACAGUUGUUGCUGGGACACAGACUAGAGCAGGUGGCAGAUGUGCCUUGUCUUUUGAGAAAAGAAAGAGUAGGUGAGCUUGGGCACAAAGUAACAUAUUGCAUGUCCAUUAAAAGGGUAAGUAUAACAGGGAAAAGUCACUGCUGUAAGUAGAAAAACCACCAAUAUCAGAAAUAGGCCUUUUUAUACUCCCAUUUACAACUUCAAUAGAGCUGGAAAAUGUCACUAAUGUAGAAUUCCACAUGCUCAGAAAUCAGAACUGACAUUAAAAGUGUUACUUCUCUAAAAAACAUUCCAUAGUACUUUUUCUGGCUUGUAUUUUUUGUUAUUUAUACAUAGUAUGAGAGUAUGAGUCAAAAAUUUAUUUUAAAUUAGCUUCAGUAUAUUGAAGAUAGAUUUCAGAAAUGUAUAAAUAUAGAGAGGCAGACAGUGUGUACUUCAUUUUUUUUUUCUCUAGCGCAAGACUAGGAACAGAGAAUAAGGUAGUAUAACUUGUCAGUGUGAACGUACUGAUUGCUGCAUUAAAAUUCUUAAUGCAUAGACAACAAGUUCAAACUUCACCAGCAAAUCUGUUUUGCAUGAUAUACUUUAAUAUCCCAGCCCUGAAAAGUGAUCACGUGGAAAUUAGACUUUUUAAAUGUACAGUACAGUUACACAUAAAUAUUUGCAAAGUCAGCAUCAUUGUUGAAAUCUGUAUUUUAAAUAUUCAACCAGUCACAAAGUGUGUCAAAGGCAUAUCAUCUUACACAUACUUUAAUUGAUUCAAGAGAUAUAAAUACCUGGAAUAAUUAGAAUUCCCAGUUAUGGCUUUUUCCAGUUGAUUUGGAUUUUUUCACCUCCUCGCCCUUCUUACAUAUUAAAAUUCUAAUUGAAAAUGAAUAAGAAUAAAUAAAUAAAGAAACUGACUAGUUUUAUCAUCUGAGAUAAAAAUUGAAAGCUAUCACUUCUGUUGAUUUAUUUAAAUGUUUAUAAUAAAUACAACUGACAUAUCACUUAAAGUGUCAUUCCAAUUAGCUAAGAAAAAAGAACCAAGUCUCAAGCAUUUUUAACAUAUUUUGGAGAGAUUAUUUUAGAACUUGUAUGUUGCAGAACUGUGCCAAAGAGUUAAUGCCCUGUGGUAUGUUAUUAUUCCAUGUAAUUUACAUAUGAUGAACAUCUGUGUUUGCAUGUAAUUCUGGUUCAUUAGAAAUAUAUUGGAGUGCAUAUACAUGUGUGUUUGUUUGAAGGCGUUUGUAUUUAUAACAGUUUCUCAACUUAAAAAAUAUUAGAUAUUCUUAUUUAUUCUUUUCAAUACCUCUUGUUUCUUCUGUCAGCUUUUAUUUUAAAACACUUGCAUCUUUGCAAUUGAAUUUCAGGUGUCCAGUAUACUGCUCCAAUUUUUCUUCAUUAGUUAUGAAAUUAAAGUGAUAAUAAGUUCUUUCUAUUUAAUUUAAUUCUAGUAACAAUAGCAGCAUUGCAUAAGAAAAUAAUCAAUUAGCUAUUGCUCUUUCAUAAAAUGUUUGUGCAUUUUGUCACUAUUGCAAAAAAUAUGGCCACGUGUAAGUUUACAUUCAGUAUUUUUUUCAGUUUAUGUGUUUACCUUGAACAUGCUUGGGAAUUACUAAAUUGGAAAUAAAGGAGUUUUGAAUGACCAAUUGAUUGUGGACUUGGACAGCAGUCCAAAACCACUUAUACUCAGAUCUAAUUCACUGUACCACUGAGAGUGAUUUCUGUAGGAGCCUUCAGAGAAGUUAAGCAUUUGUAUUUUUAUAUGCCUAUACUGACUAGACAUACAACUCACCUGUCGGUAGUCUUGUUGUAUACAAUAUCUAAUUUAGCUACACUGAUCUUAAGCUGAAUCACUUUCUACAGACAGCAUUUUGGCCAAAGUAUUUUUGUUGAUGUGCCAUGCUCAUAUAUUUUUUCUAAGUCAUAGUGACAAGGCUUCUUUGCUGAAGCAUAGUCCACUUUGCAGAUCAUAUAAGUCACUUCAUCUAAUUAAUCCAUUUUAUUACUAGGGUGUAGGGCACUGUUUAUGACCUCCAGAUUUUAUGCUGUGCAUGACUGAAUUAAAGGAAGUUUUUUGUGUUCUUUGUUUUUUUUAUUACACAGAUUGCUAUGUUACUUUAGUGGCUGGAUUAAAAGAUACUAUGUCCUGUUCUGUUCCUUUAAGGGUGUUGACAAGUAUGCGUUUAUAGCAUUUUUGGUACAAAUAUAACAAACCGCAAGUAUCAUUCUAGUCAAGACAUUUACCAUAACAGUACAUUUUAUUUUAAUGAAUGAGAUUUUCUUGUCUCAAAAUAAAUUCACCGUUAUACAGUUUUAAAAAUAAUGUUUUGAAUAUGUUUAAAAAAUGGAAGAACUAAGAUAGUGUAUUUUAUAUUCAUUUACUAUAGUUAAUAGUGGAUGAGUGUACCUUCAUUUUAGUUUUUGUUCAACAGUAAUUUUUAUAAACAUUUAAACCUCACUUUGCAUUGUCUAAUAAUUCUGAGAAUGUAUUGCUAGUGUCUAUGAACAGAUAUGGAAACAAUGAGCUCAUAAAUGAUCACAUUUUUGCGACUUAGCCAAUGUUCUUCUGUUUAGAGUUAUAAUUGUAUAAUAUGUACGUUUCCAUUGUCAUAUUUUAAAAGUAAAACCAAACAUAAUGAAAACGAUUUUGUCUUUUAUUGAUACCCUUUGAAAAAGAGACCAGUGAAAAAAGUAAUCCCAAUUUAGUGUUCUUAAUGCUGCAUUUUGUGUCUGUAUUGAAAUAAAGAUACAUGAUUUUUUCUGUUAAAGAACAUUUAGAUGCCGCGUGAUCUACAAAAUUUAAUACUUCACCAUGACAAGUUCCAGUUGACAAGAAUGUGUGUUGAAGAUUUCAGAAUACACCACGGGACUUAUUGGAAGCUAUACAAGUUUGUUCUUGAAUCAUCAAAAUGUUCUUGGAUACCUUAGAUAGACAAUAGCUUAAUCAUAUCCUGAAAGAGUAACAGAACCCCUCACUGUUGAGAGAGUUGCUAGUAUAACAGAGAUUAUAUUUUAGAUUUUGUUUCUGACAGAUAACAUACUUUAAUAUUUUAUCAUGGAAAAACUAUAUUCAAAUUAUUAUUGCACAUUUUUACAGCCCUUUAUUGUUGUGAUUAUCUAUUUGAAAUGUGAAGUAUCCACUUCGGAGCUAUUUUGGAACCCUUCAUGAUACUAAAAGUUUCCUUUCUAGCCACUCAAUGGCAUUGAACUCUUCAGUGUUUCAUUUUCAGGAUUCUAAUGAUAUGAUACCACCUUUAAAUGCUGCAUCUCUUCCUCCUUUAGAUUUCACAAUUAGCAAACUCUGCUGCUUCUUUUGAUACCAAAAGCGAAGGUGCAUAUAGUGUUUCCUCAAUCACUUUCACAGCAGAUUUUUAUAAAAAAUAUCUAUCUAGACAUGGAGUCAUAUUGAUGGUUCAGUAACCAUAGUAAAUGUAUGUUGCCUGGCUUUAACUUUAUUUCCUAGACAUAGACUUCUCUCUCCUGUGCAUUAAACUUGGUAGUUUCUUAAAGAAAUAAGUGGAAUGUUUGUGAUGUACUUUAGCUUGAUGAUGUUUCUGGUCUGUAAAUAAAUUUUCCACCGUGACAUGACAGAAUGACUAGAUUGAUUUCUAGGAGCACACAAUAGGCUUUAUGGAAUGAGAGAUGACAACUUAACUAGAAGGUGUAAACUGAUAGCCAAAUGUGAUAAUAUGUAUUUAUGUGUAUGUAUAUGUGUAUAAAGUGGCAAUACACACUAAGUGUGAGUGUAUAUAUAUGUGUAGUGCUAUUUUCUAGACUGGACAAUUAUUUUCCAAACAUAGCUUUAAAAUUACGUAUUGAAUGAAAACAAUAUGGAAGCACUAAGGUACAGCAAAUGCAUUUAAUGUAAUUAUAUGUGAAAAGUAUAGCUCUGUUUAGUCAGUAGUCUGAUUUGACCUUCCUAGUCAUGUCAUAGAAGACAGAUCCAGGGUAAAUUUUGAGAAUUAUUUAUGCGUAGAAAGAACCAGGGUUUGGAAGGCAGUUUUGUCCAUAUCUUUUGCAUAAUCAACUAACAAUCUUGGUCUGUAGAACCUUUGUUUUAGUUCCUUUGCACUAGGCAGAACUAUAACAAUGAAACAUUCUUUAAGUAAUGCAAAACAUUGGGACAUCUAUCCCUGCUAACUUGCAGACUGCAGUAGGAAUUUAUUUGAAAUAUUUUGUACUUAAAUCUCUGACCCUUGGUAUAAAAUCCUCCAAAACUAAAUUGGUUGCUUGCUGUCCCAGUCCACAAGGAGAUGGUCUUACCAUUCUAGAUCCAAGAAAUCUUCUCUCUUCAAGAAGAAGAAAUGUUCAAGAAAUGUUCUCUCUUUUUUUCCCUGACAAAUAGAAAAAAAUUGUUUGCAUUGUAAUGGCUUCAAGCUGUGCCAGGGAAGAUUCAGGCUGGACGUUAGGAAAGGGUGCUCAGGGUGGUCAGGCACUGGAAUGGGCUGCCCAGAGAGGUGGUGGAGUCACCGACCGUGGUGGUGUUCAAAGAGCGUUUGGAUGUUGUGUUGAGGGACAUGGUUUAGUGAGAACCAUUGGUGAAGGGUGAACGAGUGGUUGGACUGGAUGAUCCUGUGGGUCUUUUCUAACCUUAACGAUUCUAUGAUUCUAUAAUUCUAAAGUGUCAACCUAUCAGUUGAAUUUUGGACUGAGAUGUAAAGCCAUAGAACCUUAACCUUUCACCUAGACACUAUACGUUUUUAUCAUUUUUGAUGCAGUCGCUUACAGAUUCAUCUUAUUUAUGCUGUUUGCCAUUUGCACAUCCACUCGACAUUUCAGAUUUCGAAUGUAAACAAGGGAGAAAUUCAUAUGAAAUGGCACGAAAAAAAUAUUGUUUAUUUUAAACUACCAACAUCAGAUUUUGGAGUUCUUGAAACCAUCUUCACUGUUGCUGGACUACUUGAGUGUAAUCAUAGGAAAUUUUGCUUAAAUUUUAGUAUUAAUUCCCUGUUUAGGUUGUUUGACUAAUAUUAGAAAUUUCAAUGACUAAUCAUGUAUAUAUUUUCAGUUAUUUCCCAAAGUAAAAUGUUCCUACUUUUUUUUUUUUUUUUUUUAAGAAUAUGUUUUUUGUAAAGUGUGAUUUCUGUCACUUAAAACACUAUGGGAAACUUUCAAAUUAAUUAAUUUAAUUUAAUUUAAUUUAAUUAAUUCAUUGAUGAAGCUAAACCUAUAUUUGCGCUUUCGGAAAAAUGUAUAAGAGUAUUUUCACAAGCUGGGGGUCCUCUUUAGUUUUAAUGGAUGCUAGUACCAUGACCUUUUUUCUUGAAAAGCUCAUGGAAAACUUCAGGGCAGGGGGAUGAAAUAUUUUGAUUGGCAGAAAAGAUGGGAUGUUUAUAAUUUUAAUCAAAUUUAGAAUCAAGACAUACUUCAAAUAAUAUGUCAGACUAGUGUUAAUGAGUUUAAAAUCUAAUGACAACAGCUGUCAUUAUUAGUUAAAUAUAGCCAUUGUGCCUAUGGCAAUAAGUGACACUUCUGAACAUGUAGAAACAAAAAAUUCUCAAGUAUUUAGAGAAAAGGGAGUGACUGUAAACUUAUCUAAACCCAGGAAUGUGACCUGGGCAUAAUGUAUUUCCCAAGUACAGAGGCUUCUGUAAUUUGGACAAAAGAAGUAAUUGAAUGCAACAUUACGUGUUGUUACUACUAGAACGCUCAUAUUUUAGGAAAC
RNAcentral lists this long non-coding RNA (6865 nucleotides) under Gallus gallus (chicken). Lineage: Eukaryota; Metazoa; Chordata; Aves; Galliformes; Phasianidae. The record is from RNAcentral.